RNAcentral lists this ribosomal RNA (275 nucleotides) under uncultured bacterium. RNAcentral's name for it is "partial 16S ribosomal RNA". It matches the Rfam family "Bacterial small subunit ribosomal RNA", at positions 338 to 629 of the family's 1533-position model. The record is from RNAcentral.
CCUACGGGUGGCAGCAGUAGGGAAUUUUCCACAAUGGGCGAAAGCCUGAUGGAGCAACGCCGCGUGCAGGAUGAAGGUCUUCGGAUUGUAAACUGCUUUUAUCUGUGACGAUAAUGACGGUAGCAGAUGAAUAAGGAUCGGCUAACUCCGUGCCAGCAGCCGCGGUCAUACGGAGGAUCCAAGCGUUAUCCGGAAUUACUGGGCGUAAAGAGUUGCGUAGGUGGCAUUGUAAGUCAGUAGUGAAAGCGUUCGGCUCAACCGGAUACACAUUACUG